Molecule: ribosomal RNA, 235 nt
Filed under: uncultured Actinomycetales bacterium
Lineage: Bacteria; Bacillati; Actinomycetota; Actinomycetes; Actinomycetales
Description: partial 16S ribosomal RNA
Rfam family: Bacterial small subunit ribosomal RNA
Source: RNAcentral
GGCGAACGGGUGAGUAACACGUGGGUAAUCUGCCUUGCACUCUGGGAUAAGCCUGGGAAACUGGGUCUAAUACUGGAUAUGACCUUUCUCCUUAUGGGGUUUGGUGGAAAGUUUUUCGGUGUAGGAUGAGCCCGCGGCCUAUCAGCUUGUUGGUGGGGUGAUGGCCUACCAAGGCGACGACGGGUAGCCGGCCUGAGAGGGUGAUCGGCCACAUUGGGACUGAGAUACGGCCCAG